GGGCCGCUAGCUCAAUUGGCAGAGCAGCAGACUCUUAAUCUGCUGGUUCUCGGUUCGAUUCCGAGGCGGCUCACCA
Molecule: transfer RNA, 76 nt
Filed under: Spirochaetota bacterium
Lineage: Bacteria; Pseudomonadati; Spirochaetota
Description: Spirochaetes bacterium (permafrost metagenome) tRNA-Lys
Rfam family: tRNA
About the family: Transfer RNA (tRNA) molecules are approximately 80 nucleotides in length. Their secondary structure includes four short double-helical elements and three loops (D, anti-codon, and T loops).
Source: RNAcentral